Molecule: ribosomal RNA, 1111 nt
Filed under: Escherichia coli
Lineage: Bacteria; Pseudomonadati; Pseudomonadota; Gammaproteobacteria; Enterobacterales; Enterobacteriaceae
Description: partial 23S ribosomal RNA
Rfam family: Bacterial large subunit ribosomal RNA
Source: RNAcentral
GGGACACGUGGUAUCCUGUCUGAAUAUGGGGGGACCAUCCUCCAAGGCUAAAUACUCCUGACUGACCGAUAGUGAACCAGUACCGUGAGGGAAAGGCGAAAAGAACCCCGGCGAGGGGAGUGAAAAAGAACCUGAAACCGUGUACGUACAAGCAGUGGGAGCACGCUUAGGCGUGUGACUGCGUACCUUUUGUAUAAUGGGUCAGCGACUUAUAUUCUGUAGCAAGGUUAACCGAAUAGGGGAGCCGAAGGGAAACCGAGUCUUAACUGGGCGUUAAGUUGCAGGGUAUAGACCCGAAACCCGGUGAUCUAGCCAUGGGCAGGUUGAAGGUUGGGUAACACUAACUGGAGGACCGAACCGACUAAUGUUGAAAAAUUAGCGGAUGACUUGUGGCUGGGGGUGAAAGGCCAAUCAAACCGGGAGAUAGCUGGUUCUCCCCGAAAGCUAUUUAGGUAGCGCCUCGUGAAUUCAUCUCCGGGGGUAGAGCACUGUUUCGGCAAGGGGGUCAUCCCGACUUACCAACCCGAUGCAAACUGCGAAUACCGGAGAAUGUUAUCACGGGAGACACACGGCGGGUGCUAACGUCCGUCGUGAAGAGGGAAACAACCCAGACCGCCAGCUAAGGUCCCAAAGUCAUGGUUAAGUGGGAAACGAUGUGGGAAGGCCCAGACAGCCAGGAUGUUGGCUUAGAAGCAGCCAUCAUUUAAAGAAAGCGUAAUAGCUCACUGGUCGAGUCGGCCUGCGCGGAAGAUGUAACGGGGCUAAACCAUGCACCGAAGCUGCGGCAGCGACACUAUGUGUUGUUGGGUAGGGGAGCGUUCUGUAAGCCUGCGAAGGUGUGCUGUGAGGCAUGCUGGAGGUAUCAGAAGUGCGAAUGCUGACAUAAGUAACGAUAAAGCGGGUGAAAAGCCCGCUCGCCGGAAGACCAAGGGUUCCUGUCCAACGUUAAUCGGGGCAGGGUGAGUCGACCCCUAAGGCGAGGCCGAAAGGCGUAGUCGAUGGGAAACAGGUUAAUAUUCCUGUACUUGGUGUUACUGCGAAGGGGGGACGGAGAAGGCUAUGUUGGCCGGGCGACGGUUGUCCCGGUUUAAGCGUGUAGGCUGGUUUUCCA